Molecule: ribosomal RNA, 497 nt
Filed under: uncultured bacterium
Lineage: Bacteria
Description: partial 16S ribosomal RNA
Rfam family: Bacterial small subunit ribosomal RNA
Source: RNAcentral
GAUGAACGCUGGCAGCGUGCCUAAUACAUGCAAGUCGAGCGAACAGACGAGGAGCUUGCUCCUCUGACGUUAGCGGCGGACGGGUGAGUAACACGUGGAUAACCUACCUAUAAGACUGGGAUAACUUCGGGAAACCGGAGCUAAUACCGGAUAAUAUAUUGAACCGCAUGGUUCAAUAGUGAAAGACGGUUUUGCUGUCACUUAUAGAUGGAUCCGCGCCGCAUUAGCUAGUUGGUAAGGUAACGGCUUACCAAGGCAACGAUGCGUAGCCGACCUGAGAGGGUGAUCGGCCACACUGGAACUAAGACACGGUCCAGACUCCUACGGGAGGCAGCAGUAGGGAAUCUUCCGCAAUGGGCGAAAGCCUGACGGAGCAACGCCGCGUGAGUGAUGAAGGUCUUCGGAUCGUAAAACUCUGUUAUUAGGGAAGAACAAAUGUGUAAGUAACUAUGCACGUCUUGACGGUACCUAAUCAGAAAGCCACGGCUAACUACGUG